RNAcentral lists this non-coding RNA (148 nucleotides) under Pan paniscus (pygmy chimpanzee). RNAcentral also lists the same sequence under 1 other name. The record is from Rfam by way of RNAcentral. Lineage: Eukaryota; Metazoa; Chordata; Mammalia; Primates; Hominidae.
GCCAGGUGUGGUGGCGGGCACCUGUAAUCCCAGCUACUUGGGAGGCUGAGACAGGAGAAUUGCUUGAACCUGGGAGGCGGAGGUUGCAGUGAGCUGAGAUGGCACCACUGCACUCCAGCCUGGGCGACAGAGUAAGACCCUGUCUCAA